RNAcentral lists this ribosomal RNA (337 nucleotides) under Caecilia sp. Its description in RNAcentral is "partial 16S ribosomal RNA". The record is from RNAcentral. Lineage: Eukaryota; Metazoa; Chordata; Amphibia; Gymnophiona; Caeciliidae.
UCAAACCCUAUAAAACCAAAUGAGCUAGUCUAUAGACUUAUAGACCCGUCAAUGUUAAAACUAGUAAUAAGGAAAUACAACUUCCUCUGAGCACCAGUGUAAUUCAGACCAGAUAUACCACUGAUAAUUACCGACGUAUUGGCCCAAUUAACAUUAAACAAGAAUAUUACCUAAUCCCCGUUAACCCUACACAGGAGUGCCAACAGAAGACUACAAGACAAAGAAGGAACUAGGCAACAUCAAGCUUCGCCUGUUUACCAAAAACAUCGCCUCUAGCUAAAUCCAUGUAUUAGAGGUACUGCCUGCCCAGUGACAUAGAUUCAACGGCCACGGUAUU